Molecule: long non-coding RNA, 388 nt
Organism: Canis lupus familiaris (dog)
Lineage: Eukaryota; Metazoa; Chordata; Mammalia; Carnivora; Canidae
Exons: 3
Source: RefSeq, a predicted model, not a curated record
CAUUAUCCUUUGGAGCUGUAUCUAUUUUUUAAGGCUGCCAUAACAAAAGCACCACAGGGUGAAUGGCUUAAACAACAGAAAUUUAUUUUUUCACAGGUCUGGAGGCUAAAACUCCAAGAUCAAGAUGUCUACAAGGUAUUAGGCUCCUGUUCAUGGCCAUAGAAUGUUCACUGACCAACAGUUUAGUUCUACAAUGCAGCUGCUCUGGCCAGGCACAGAGAAGGCUGAGUUUCAACCCAAGAAGUUACCUGGUCUUUAGACGCUCCCAAUGUACAUCAGCUAAAAGAAACCUGUAUCCUUUCUUUGCAUCACUUAUAUUAUUUGGAUAGCACAGAAAUCUAUUGAUAAAGUUCACCCACAAAAACACAUUUAACAUGUAAUCAGUGGC